This 777-nucleotide ribosomal RNA is filed under the name uncultured bacterium. Its description in RNAcentral is "bacterial SSU rRNA". It matches the Rfam family "Bacterial small subunit ribosomal RNA", at positions 28 to 807 of the family's 1533-position model. The record is from RNAcentral.
GAUGAACGCUUGCGGCGUGCUUAACACAUGCAAGUCGAGCGAAGCAGUUAAGAAGAUUCUUCGGAUGAUUCUUGACUGACUGAGCGGCGGACGGGUGAGUAACGCGUGGGUGACCUGCCCCAUACCGGGGGAUAACAGCUGGAAACGGCUGCUAAUACCGCAUAAGCGCACAGAGCUGCAUGGCUCGGUGUGAAAAACUCCGGUGGUAUGGGAUGGGCCCGCGUCUGAUUAGGCAGUUGGCGGGGUAACGGCCCACCAAACCGACGAUCAGUAGCCGGCCUGAGAGGGCGACCGGCCACAUUGGGACUGAGACACGGCCCAAACUCCUACGGGAGGCAGCAGUGGGGAAUAUUGCACAAUGGGGGAAACCCUGAUGCAGCGGCGCCGCGUGAGCGAAGAAGUAUUUCGGUAUGUAAAGCUCUAUCAGCAGGGAAGAUAAUGACGGUACCUGACUAAGAAGCCCCGGCUAACUACGUGCCAGCAGCCGCGGUAAUACGUAGGGGGCAAGCGUUAUCCGGAUUUACUGGGUGUAAAGGGAGCGUAGACGGCAAGGCAAGUCUGAUGUGAAAACCCAGGGCUUAACCCUGGGACUGCAUUGGAAACUGUCUGGCUCGAGUGCCGGAGAGGUAAGCGGAAUUCCUAGUGUAGCGGAGAAAUGCGUAGAUAUUAGAAAGAACACCAGUGGCGAAGGCGGCUUACUGGACGGUAACUGACGUUGAGGCUCGAAAGCGUGGGGAGCAAACAGGAUUAGAUACCCUGGUAGUCCACGCCGUAAAC